This 259-nucleotide long non-coding RNA is filed under the name Linum usitatissimum (flax). RNAcentral describes it as "long non-coding RNA (LUSI_LNC000634)". The record is from RNAcentral. Lineage: Eukaryota; Viridiplantae; Streptophyta; Magnoliopsida; Malpighiales; Linaceae.
ACAAUCGGCAGAGGAACCAAUUUCAUAGAAUAUAGCGGAAAAUCCCAUAGCUAAGGCAAUUGUACCGAGAAACACCACAUCUUUAUUCUCAGAAUCACCAUCUAACCCUAAUUUCUUCAACUCCAGCAAUGCUCUUCCCGCUUUCAACAACUCGCCGAAAACAUUGCCCUUAAGUUUACCAAGCAGCACCUUAUCAACUGCCUUUCCCAUCACAGACACCAAAGGCAACACAAGAGCCUGGACAACCUGCUUACUCAGG